GAUGAACGCUGGCGGCGUGCCUAAUACAUGCAAGUCGAGCGAACAGACGAGGAGCUUGCUACUCUGACGUUAGCGGCGGACGGGUGAGUAACACGUGGAUAACCUACCUAUAAGACUGGGAUAACUUCGGGAAACCGGAGCUAAUACCGGAUAAUAUAUUGAACCGCAUGGUUCAAUAGUGAAAGACGGUUUUGCUGUCACUUAUAGAUGGAUCCGCGCCGCAUUAGCUAGUUGGUAAGGUAACGGCUUACCAAGGCAACGAUGCGUAGCCGACCUGAGAGGGUGAUCGGCCACACUGGAACUGAGACACGGUCCAGACUCCUACGGGAGGCAGCAGUAGGGAAUCUUCCGCAAUGGGCGAAAGCCUGACGGAGCAACGCCGCGUGAGUGAUGAAGGUCUUCGGAUCGUAAAACUCUGUUAUUAGGGAAGAACAAAUGUGUAAGUAACUAUGCACGUAUUGACGGUACCUAAUCAGAAAGCCACGGCUAACUACGUG
This 497-nucleotide ribosomal RNA is filed under the name uncultured bacterium. Its description in RNAcentral is "partial 16S ribosomal RNA". It matches the Rfam family "Bacterial small subunit ribosomal RNA", at positions 28 to 507 of the family's 1533-position model. The record is from RNAcentral.